RNAcentral lists this ribosomal RNA (440 nucleotides) under uncultured bacterium. RNAcentral describes it as "partial 16S ribosomal RNA". It matches the Rfam family "Bacterial small subunit ribosomal RNA", at positions 338 to 795 of the family's 1533-position model. The record is from RNAcentral.
CCUACGGGAGGCAGCAGUGGGGAAUAUUGCACAAUGGGGGAAACCCUGCUGCAGCGACGCCGCGUGAGUGAAGAAGUAUUUCGGUAUGUAAAGCCCUAUCAGCAGGGAAGAUAAUGACGGUACCUGAGUAAGAAGCCCCGGCUAAAUACGUGCCAGCAGCCGCGGUAAUACGUAGGGGGCAAGCGUUAUCCGGAUUUACUGGGUGGAAAGGGAGCGUAGGCGGCCUGGCAAGCCUGAUGUGAAAUACCGGGGCCCAACCCCGGGGCUGCAUUGGGAACUGCCAGGCUGGAGUGCCGGAGAGGCAGGCGGAAUUCCUAGUGUAGCGGUGAAAUGCGUAGAUAUUAGGAGGAACACCAGUGGCGAAGGCGGCCUGCUGGACGGUGACUGACGCUGAGGCUCGAAAGCGUGGGGAGCAAACAGGAUUAGAUACCCCUGUAGUC